Molecule: ribosomal RNA, 305 nt
Filed under: uncultured bacterium
Lineage: Bacteria
Description: bacterial SSU rRNA
Rfam family: Bacterial small subunit ribosomal RNA
Source: RNAcentral
UGGCCUACGGGAGGCAGCAGUGGGAAAUAUUGCACAAUGGGGGAAACCCUGAUGCAGCGACGCCGCGUGAGUGAAGAAGCGUUUCGGCGCGUAAAGCUCUGUCAGCGGGGAAGAAACACGGUUCGCGAGAGCCGCGGACGGUACCCGACCAAGAAGCCCCGGCUAACUACGUGCCAGCAGCCGCGGUAAUACGUAGGUGGCAAGCGUUGUCCGGAUUUACUGGGUGUAAAGGGCGUGCAGCCGGAGAGACAAGUCAGAUGUGAAAUCCACGGGCUCAACCCGUGAACUGCAUUUGAAACUGUUUC